Long non-coding RNA from Hemicordylus capensis (graceful crag lizard), 2100 nucleotides. RefSeq lists it as uncharacterized. NCBI's taxonomy places the organism in Eukaryota, Metazoa, Chordata, Lepidosauria, Squamata, Cordylidae. The record is from RefSeq and is a predicted model, not a curated record. The transcript is spliced from 3 exons.
CCCGCCUCUCAGCUGAUCGGCGGGUGGGCGGGUCUUCCACAGAGGCCUCGUGUAGGCCUCUGUGAAGCCUGAACUCCAGUAGGGCCCAAGCCAGCCAGGAAGGAGGAGGCAGCCAGAGUGGCCACCACUGCUCUCUGCAGCAGAAGACCCCCUGCUGCCCUGCCGAACCCAGCAUUUGCCAGGUGCGGCAUCAUCCAAACUGAAGUCAAUGAAGUCUCCUCUCCCUACGUAAUGCUGUUGUGUUGGUGUUGAAGGGGAUUGCACCGGUGUUUGUGCUGGAGACAGUUGAAGUACUCUCCGGGUUGCACUGUGGCAAAUGAUGAACAGAGGAGUCAGCAAUGAGGUGUUGACACUUUGGAGGUCAAACAGAAACUAGAAAAAUGACACUCCAACUUCAACAGAAGCCCAGAGGACGCAGAGUGGAUGUCAUGAGGAGCUAGUUAAUCUACCUGGAAGAUCCCUGCACAGGCACAGAAUCCAUUCCUUAUGAGUGCAACAGAUCAUGAUCCAGAUAUAUGAUUUAUCUAUGGAAGAAUGUGUGUCUAUUGACCACUGUGAUGCUGAGAGGAACUGGGUUUUCAAUUAAGAUGCUGGUGAAGACAUAGCAGUAACUAACAACUUGUAUUUCUCAGUCUGCCAUUCUAAAAUUAAGAAGACUCAUUCAAUGGCAUCUUAUUUCCAAACCCUAACCCACCCCAAUAUGCAGGGCCUUCAGGUGGUACCAACUGCCUAUCAUGAACAGGUAUCCUUCAGGCAGAAUGGAAAUGUAUUUAUGCCUGCAACUGAGUGGAAGGUUUGCAAAUUAUUUAUUGGUUUGUCCUCUCUAUGCCAAUCCAAGGAGGAAAUUUGUUGCUUUUCCCCUGAGAUGUCUGGACAAGUCCUUAAGGAUAUACGGGCCUGUUAGAUGACAGCCAACCAUUACCUAUAUGAUCACUUAUUUGCUCUGGCUGAAGAAAACCUACAGGCUUCUUACAUCAAAAAUCUUGUUAACUGUGGUGUUGCUGGUGGUCGUGCUUAAGGGCUAAGAUGUGGACAGGAGCUAUUUUAUUAUUAUUGGUGGUUGACUAGUGUAUAGGGUUACUAUAAUUUUGAUACUGUGGUGGCCUCUGGCUAACUACAAAAAAGCUAUGACUGACUAGGGGUCCAUAAAGAUACUGGCAUUAUUAUACAUGUGGGCAACAUUAUCUCAAGUUAAAGCAUACAUUUGCGCAAACUGAAGAUGUCAUCAAUAAAGAUGUGAAAUUGAGGGCUUUAUCACACUUUUCUUUAAAAAAAAAAUCUAAUUCCUAGAUAUUUUCCAGCAGGCCUUUCAACUUCAUUACAAACAUCAUAUAAUUAUUAAUCUACAAAUUAAACUUAAACAACUGUGCAUAUGACCAAUAUAUAAUCAUUUUCCAGCAGUGAAAGUAAUAUGACAGUUUGCAAUUACAAAUAAAAGCUAGUCCUUAUUGUCAGGAAAAAGUUAUCUUUGCUGCUUUUCAUUAUUUCAGAAACAAAAGCUUUUAAAAGUGUGUCCUCCUCUAAUCGAAUUUAACUCUGCCCGCACCACAACCUCUUGAAUAAACUUAGUAGUCAUGGGAUAACAGGGCAGGUUCUUUUAUGAACUGGCAACAUAUUAAAGAACAGGAAACAGAGCAGGAAUAAAUGGACAAUAUGCACAAUGAGGAAAGAAAGAAGUGGGGUCCUGCAAGUAUCUGUAUUGGGACUGGUGCUUUUCAACUUGUUCAUAAAAUGAUCUGCAGUUAGGAGUAAGCAGCAUGGUAACCCCAUUUACAGACGAUACUGAAUUAUUCAGGAUGGUGUAAACUAAAAUGGAUCACAAAGCAAUCCAAAAGGAUCUCUCUGAAUAGUGGAUGGGCAAUCAAGUGGCAAAGAUGGUUCAAUAUAAAUAAGUGUGAAGUGAUUGCCCGGGGGGCGGGGGAAAUUCCCAGCUUCACAUGUACAAUGAUGGGAUCUGAGCUGUUGAGAUCUAAACAAAAGAGAGAUGCUGGGGUUGUGGUGGAUCGUUCACUGAACAUGUUGACUCAGUGUGCAGCAGCUGCGAAAAGACAAACUGCAUUGUAGGAAUGAUUAGGAAAAACAAUGAAAAAUAAAAUUGCU